UCCCUGGCUCAGGACGAACGCAGGCGGCAUGCCUAAAUACAUGCAAGUCGAGCGGAGUUUGAGAGGAAGCUUGCUUCCUUUCAACUUAGCGGCGGACGGGUGAGUAACACGUAGGCAACCUGCCCUCAAGCCUGGGAUAACUACCGGAAACGGUAGCUAAUACCGGAUAAUUUCUUUUUUCUCCUGAGAAAAGAAUGAAAGGCGGAGCAAUCUGCUGCUUGGGGAUGGGCCUGCGGCGCAUUAGCUAGUUGGUGGGGUAACGGCCCACCAAGGCGACGAUGCGUAGCCGACCUGAGAGGGUGAACGGCCACACUGGGACUGAGACACGGCCCAGACUCCUACGGGAGGCAGCAGUAGGGAAUCUUCCGCAAUGGGCGCAAGCCUGACGGAGCAAUGCCGCGUGAGUGAUGAAGGUUUUCGGAUCGUAAAGCUCUGUUGCCAGGGAAGAACGUCCGGUAGAGUAACUGCUGCCGGAGUGACGGUACCUGAGAAGAAAGCCCCGG
Molecule: ribosomal RNA, 503 nt
Filed under: Paenibacillaceae bacterium CL3.41
Lineage: Bacteria; Bacillati; Bacillota; Bacilli; Caryophanales; Paenibacillaceae
Description: bacterial SSU rRNA
Rfam family: Bacterial small subunit ribosomal RNA
Source: RNAcentral